RNAcentral lists this small nuclear RNA (162 nucleotides) under Jaculus jaculus (lesser Egyptian jerboa). RNAcentral describes it as "U1 spliceosomal RNA (ENSJJAG00000002814.1)". It matches the Rfam family "U1 spliceosomal RNA". From Rfam's summary of the family: U1 is a small nuclear RNA (snRNA) component of the spliceosome (involved in pre-mRNA splicing). Its 5' end forms complementary base pairs with the 5' splice junction, thus defining the 5' donor site of an intron. There are significant differences in sequence and secondary structure between metazoan and yeast U1 snRNAs, the latter being much longer (568 nucleotides as compared to 164 nucleotides in human). Lineage: Eukaryota; Metazoa; Chordata; Mammalia; Rodentia; Dipodidae. The record is from Rfam by way of RNAcentral.
AUACUUACCUGGCAAGAGAUACCAUGAUCAAGAAGGUGGCUCUCCCAGGGCGAGGCUUAUCCAUUGCACUCCAGAGGUGCUGACUCCUGCGAUUUCUCCAAAUGCGGGAAACUGGACUGCAUAAUUUGUGGUAGUGGGGGACUGCGUUUGCGCUCUCCCCUG